CGCCCACAGAGGCUCGCAGCGCUGGCUACCGCCGACACCCCCUCCACCCGGCUCGGGCAGAAAUGCGGUCGGUUCGCAUCUUCCAAGCAGGUCAAUGACAUUUUGCUCCGUGAGUACUUGAAGGUGGAGAAUUCCUUUAUGAUGUUAGCCCCUUGGGAGCAGAGCUGGAAUGGCAAAGGACAUACAGAUUGUGGAGGAAUGAUCAGAAUCCUGCAGAGAGAAGAGCUCUGAACAGUCAUGUUGAUCUAAAGAGUUCACAUUCUGACCGGGAAGAAUGUCAUUCGUAACAUAACAUACAUAGGACACAAUUAAAUGGGUGGCUGAGCUCCUGCACAUGGACAUAGACUGGGCUACAAACGCUCAGAGGAUGGAAGGAUGCUGGUGAAAGAUGGCAGCUGAGAAGGUCUCCUGAGACGGGGGAGAACGCUGUCCUUGAAGGAAAGGGCUGGAGGGACGAGAGCUCAGAAUCGAGGACUCUGCUGGGGAGAACAGCCCCGCUUGUGGGGCAGCAGGAAGAGGGGUACUGUGGUCAGAGCCUGGCUUUCUUUCCCUGAGUGGGCCGCAGACUAGUCUGAGGAAUCGUGUGGUUCUCCGAGGACUCGAGGUGAAGGACGGGCCAAGGAUGAAUCCUUACAAUGCUCUUAAAGUAACCAAAAUCCCAAGAGCCAAUGUCAAGGGCAGUUCCUACCUUAACCACCUGCU
Mirounga angustirostris (Northern elephant seal) is the source of this 702-nucleotide long non-coding RNA. RefSeq lists it as uncharacterized. NCBI's taxonomy places the organism in Eukaryota, Metazoa, Chordata, Mammalia, Carnivora, Phocidae. The record is from RefSeq and is a predicted model, not a curated record. The transcript is spliced from 4 exons.